AAGAGGGUGCUUGCUUUUGCUUCACCCUUCUGCCAUGAUUGUGAGUUUCCUGAGGCCUCCCCAACCAUAAGUCCUGUACAGCCUGCACAACUGCAAUUAAUGGCCACCACAGCUGCCCUCUUCACCUCCACCACCACAACUGCCACAUAUUGGUGCUUACAAUGGGCCAUGCCCUGUGCUAGGCAUUAUGAAGAUGAUCUCUUCAAAUCCUCACAACUAUGCUUUGAGGAGCAGCACUUUCCGCCUGCGUCUAGUCGGCCAUCUUGCCCACCCUCCCGGAAUUCUUGGAAAAGGAGUCUUUCUGCCAGAUGCUGACCU
Molecule: long non-coding RNA, 318 nt
Organism: Pongo pygmaeus (Bornean orangutan)
Lineage: Eukaryota; Metazoa; Chordata; Mammalia; Primates; Hominidae
Exons: 3
Source: RefSeq, a predicted model, not a curated record